RNAcentral lists this ribosomal RNA (492 nucleotides) under uncultured bacterium. Its description in RNAcentral is "partial 16S ribosomal RNA". It matches the Rfam family "Bacterial small subunit ribosomal RNA", at positions 29 to 507 of the family's 1533-position model. The record is from RNAcentral.
AGUGAACGCUGGCGGUAGGCCUAACACAUGCAAGUCGAACGGCAGCACAGUAAGAGCUUGCUCUUACGGGUGGCGAGUGGCGGACGGGUGAGGUAUACAUCGGAAUCUACUUUUUCGUGGGGGAUAACGUAGGGAAACUUACGCUAAUACCGCAUUCGACCUACGGGUGAAAGCAGGGGAUCUUCGGACCUUGCGCGAUCUAAUGAGCCGGUGUCGGAUUAGCUAGUUGGCGGGGUAAAGGCCCACCAAGGGGACGAUCCGUAGCUGGUCUGAGAGGAUGAAGCGGCACCGUGGAAGUGAGACACGGUACAGACACCUAGGGGAGGCCGCAGUGGGGAAUAUUGGACGAAGGGCGAAAGACUGAUCUAGCCAUACCGCGUGGGUGCAGAAGGCCUUCGGGUUGUAAAGCCCUUUUGUUGGGAAAGAAAAGCAGCAGGUUAAUAGCCGGCUGUUCUGACGGUACCCAAAGAAUAAGCACCGGCUAACUUCGUG